RNAcentral lists this transfer RNA (63 nucleotides) under Cryptopygus terranovus. Its description in RNAcentral is "tRNA-Leu". Lineage: Eukaryota; Metazoa; Arthropoda; Collembola; Entomobryomorpha; Isotomidae. The record is from RNAcentral.
ACUAAAUUGGCAGAAUAGUGCAAUUGAUUUAGAAUCUUUAUAUAAAAUUUAUUUUAUUUAGUA